CAUCGAGGUGUGCCUGGGAGAAGCACAGCUGAAACAGGAGUGGAGGAGAAAUCCAGGCUGCUGCUGGUGAACCUGGAGGACAUUGAGCUGGGCCUGGGGGAAGCACAGCGGAAACAGGAGUGCAGGAGAAAUCCAGACUACUGCUGGAGAACCUGGAGGACAUUGAGCUGGGCCUGGGGGAAGCACAGGUGAAACAGGAGUGUAGGAGAAAUCCAGACUGCUGCUGGAGAACCUGGAGGACAUUGAGCUGUGCCUGGGAGAAGCCCAGCGGAAACAGGAGUGUAGGAGAGAUCCAGACUGCUGCUGGAGGACAUCGAGCUGGGCCUGGGGGAGGCACAGGUGAUCAUCGGCGUGUUGGGAGAACCAGUCGCUGCGAUUAAAAGCUGGACAAAACCCAACACAAACUGCAGAAGAGCAAACAGAGCAUCGCGCAGCUGAAGGAGGAGAAGCACCUGGAGUUCAUCACCAGAUUGCGCUGAUCAGGCGGAACAUCAGUUUCUAAACCAUCUGGACAAAACCUUCAUCUGCUCCCUGUGUGUCAGUCUUGGGUUGUCAUUGCUGAUUCAGAUCAGUGGGUUCAGCUGGAGCCAUCAGUCUGUAGAGAUGGAGACUCAGAGUUCAAGAUCAGCACUCCGGCGGGUCAAUUCCAGAGCAGCAGGACCAGACUACGACGAGUCCGGUGGAAAUGUCACCCAUCCACUGCCCGGUAGUGGAGAAAAUUUUCUCAGCACAGCUGGAGAGGCCGUCAAGCUCCCCAGCAAGCAAUAGCCGUCAUUUCACCGGCUAGGUGAAGUAUAGACCAGAUCUAGCCCGGCUACGUGUAACCCAAUUUUAGCUCGAAAAACCUUAAAUUUGGUUGCAUGUUGUUUUUUGCUAAAUAAAGCUUAUAUAUGUAUGAUACUCCAUCAUGUAAGAAAAGUCAAUAACGUUUAUGAGGUUCCAGCAAGUAAUAGACGUAGUUUCAGUUUCUCGGUGAAGUAUACCAAUCUAGUCCGGCUAUGUGUAACCCAUCUCUAGCCCAAAAAAACCUUAAAUUAGCUUACCUGUCUUUUUUUGGCAAAAUACCUUGUGAUAUGUAUGAUAUUCCUUCAAGUAAGGAAAGUCAAUCGCAUAUAAGGUGUUUGGGUAUUUAAAAAUAUAUGCUAUUUUCAUAGUCUCAGCGUAGCCUUGAAUUAGCUCGUCGUCCGGCCGGCUAUUUAUAGCCCACUGAUAGCCUAAACUGAUUCACUGUAUUUGGCCAUGCAGCGCGUGCAUCACGCACGCAGUAUCAGUAAGUGUUAAGGUGUAAUUUCGUGACAUGUUCUAUUUGUAGCCAUAAUUUAGCUUUGAAUUAGAUGGGCUUUACCUACCUCAUAAAAUUGAUAUAAAAAUUAAUUGCAGACUUAUUGCCUUUUUAUUUUUAAUUAAAAAUGAAUAUGGUAUAAUAUAUUUUAUUUAUAAUAUAUUACCUAUAUCUUACGGUAAAACAAGCCAGAUCUAAUCAGUUAAGAAAAAUCAAUGCAAUUCUGUACUCCACAUGAUAGAUGGCGGUAUUGCACAUUUGUCGAGUCGGCUCGGCUGAAAUGGACCAACAAAUCAAGAGGAAGAAACUGUUGUGGUUUGAAAUUUGUAGCGCGUUGGAUUGCGAGCGCGAGUGCCCUGCAAGAUAUUUGAGUGUGGCUGUGUAAAAUGAGCAGUCUAGCAGUUUUAAUACGUAACCAUCAAGCGUGAUUGUGUCCUGAAGACCUACCUCAUUUGAAGAGUCUGUGCAUCUACCUCAAUGAAGACUUGUAAAGGAAUAUGUGGACUGAAAGUGGCUGAAUCUCAAUGCACACACAACAGUGGAGAUCUUUAUCGUUUGGGCUGAGGAUGCUGGUCCUGGGGACAGACCUACAGAUGUUGGUGUAGAAGUUUUGCAGAACCUGCUGAGUGUCACAUAGAUUGGAUGGACUUUUUGGGUUCAUGUACACUUAAAGGGUUUUUUUAACCAGAAAUGAAAAUGUUUAAUUAUUCAUGUCGUACCAAACAUUUAUUUGUCUUCGAAGUACAAAUUAAGAUACUUCAAGUGAAAUCUGAGAGCUCUCUCAUUCUCUAUAGACAGCAAUGGUCCCAACUUGUUUAAAGUCCAGAGAAAAACCUAAAACAUCCUCAAAACAGACCACAUGCUUUCAGUUGUUCAAUCAGAAUAUUUUUAAGCUACAAGAAUAAUUUUGAGUGCAUAUAAAGCAAAAAUAACAGCCUUUGAGUUUCUUUAUUCUGUUGAACAAGAUAUUUUGAAGAAAGCUGAAUACCUGUAACCAUUGGUAUAUAACCUGUACUUCCAUGGUAUGUUUUUUACAGGUUUUCAGCUUUCUUUAAAAUAUCU
Molecule: long non-coding RNA, 2344 nt
Organism: Danio aesculapii
Lineage: Eukaryota; Metazoa; Chordata; Actinopteri; Cypriniformes; Danionidae
Exons: 6
Source: RefSeq, a predicted model, not a curated record